GUUGUCUGAUUUAGACCUUCUUUAACGUGAAGAAAAGAAAAUGGCGACCACGUUGAGGGUGUCGGACUGUCGGGUAAAGUGACGAUAAAAGCUUACGAAAAGUCGAUAAUAACUCGUGCCACAUACCCGUACUUCAACAGCAGUGCAAACGUGGAGUGUAGAUUGUCGAUUUUUCGGCGGGGAGAAGAAAACAGUUUUCCACAGUUUUAGUUAUUAAAGUAAGAACCGUAGGAUGAAAAAAACUACUGCCUUAGAGUUCUGUAAGACGCAAUUAAUAGUACUCGAGUAGCCCCAUGAAUUCGAACAGUUGCUUGUAAUUUUGGCCUCGACGGAAUUUAAGACAGGACCUUCGUCAAGAGCAAAUGAUAAAUAGAAACAUUAUUUUCAGGGAAGACAAGUUCUACACAACAAGACAUUUAUGAAUUAGAAUGAAGUGGGUUAUUUUGUUGAAAUCUAAGGGGAUCUACGGAAUGUGUGCAGGUCAUAGGCUGCCAAACUCCAACGUGCUCCAAUUUAUCUUGUCAUCUUAUAUUGGACUCUUAUAACAUUAGCAUGGUGGCAUUAGCAUCUAUGUCCUAUGUGUAACAUAUGGUGUGUAAGGCCUUUCUUACAUACAAAGUCAUUUCUCUGAAAGAUGUAGGAUUCCCAGCCUACAACAUUUUGUUUUAGGUGGAACUGUUGAAUGGUGUGGAUUACAACCUACAAGUAGUGAAGCCAUAGAUGGGAAAUGAAUAUUUGGGUUACGACCGACAUGGGCGCAAAUACUGAUUCAUUGUAAGAUGCAUCUAUGUCGAAGAAACUGGCAGCCUGGAAGAAAUUGACGGCUGUGAUAAAUAAAUAAA
This is a long non-coding RNA of Daphnia pulex (common water flea), 842 nucleotides long. RefSeq lists it as uncharacterized. NCBI's taxonomy places the organism in Eukaryota, Metazoa, Arthropoda, Branchiopoda, Diplostraca, Daphniidae. The record is from RefSeq and is a predicted model, not a curated record. The transcript has 4 exons.